Molecule: long non-coding RNA, 1261 nt
Filed under: Helianthus annuus (common sunflower)
Lineage: Eukaryota; Viridiplantae; Streptophyta; Magnoliopsida; Asterales; Asteraceae
Source: RNAcentral
GUGAGUUAUUUAAAAUAACUUAGACACAAAAAAAAACACACACACAAAAGUGUGUUUCUGGUCGACAUUUUCACCAGACAAGGAAAGGUUCUUCUCUUGAACCCUAAAUUACAAAGAAAUGCUCAAAUCAAAGGGGAAAUCAAGCUAAAAAUUGGGGCUUUUUUUAAAUUCGUGAUCACCAAGUCAUGGGGAUCACAAGUUGAAGGAUACUCGUAUCUGAAGAUGGCGAGAGUGUAACAAGUGACAGACAUGACAGAGGAACGGUCCGAAGUACGACAAGUAGAGUAUGCUCAUGAAGGACCUAAAUCGCGUGAUGACCGCGAACAAGGUUAAUGACAUGGAAAGCCCAUUACGGCAAGCAUUACCAGUUUGACUCUUGACGAGCUAGGUGAAGCUUGGAGGAGAUGAUCAAACGGGAUAAAGACACGAGUAAGACUUGCUUGGAUGAAAGGUAAGUAAAGCUUACACCUAUUUUUUUUAUUAGCAUACGUAUUUAUUCUAUAGGUGAUAAAUACAACAAUAGAUUAUGUUCGAAUUAUGGGUUCCGACACGAAACAAAAUGGGUCGGAACGAAUAAAAACGUUUAAAAUCAUGAUUAAUGGUGAAAGAGGUAAAAUGGUAAUUUAGUCAUAAAUCGACUAAGAAUUUAUGAGUUUUCUUAAAGUUACCUCAUAGCUUAACUAAUAAUGGAAAAAGGGGUAAAAUGGUAAUUUGGUCACGUGAUGACUAAUUUAAUCGAGAUUAAAAGGAUACCCACGGCGUAAGCCGAACUGGGUCAAAUAUGUAAGAAAAAAAGGGAAAUUUUUAUGGUAAAAUCCGUAAUGGGUCGGAUGCGUGAUUGAGUAAUUAGAAACCAUGAUUUGUAAUAAAUAUAAUUGUUUGGUCGUAUAGACCAAAUGGGUCAAAUGAUGGUGAUAACAUCAUAUGACCAUAUCGACUAAUGUUGGUUGUUAAGUCAUAUGUUUACAGGAACGAAUAGCAAUUUGGAUAAUUGCGUCGUCAUAGAAUAUUGAAUUAAUAAUAGCAAGGUAUAAACGGGUCUAUACGUUGACUCGAGUGAAUAUCGAAAGUACCCGGACGAAGAUCAAGCGACGAGAAAGAACCGAACACAUGAAGAAGAAGCUUCCGCACGUUGUUUCGUCGAAUUUUUAAACGACAAACUAACUACAUUAUGUUGUUCUAAACUUUAAAUUAUAAAAUUUUUAAUAAACCCGUACUUUGUAAUGUAUAUGUGCUCUUAAUCACAUGUUUAUUAUCUUAA